Molecule: ribosomal RNA, 165 nt
Filed under: Klebsiella pneumoniae
Lineage: Bacteria; Pseudomonadati; Pseudomonadota; Gammaproteobacteria; Enterobacterales; Enterobacteriaceae
Description: partial 23S ribosomal RNA
Rfam family: Bacterial large subunit ribosomal RNA
Source: RNAcentral
CAUCUAAGCACGAAACUUGCCCCGAGAUGAGUUCUCCCUGAGACUUUAAGUCUCCUGAAGGAACGUUAAAGACGAUGACGUUGAUAGGCCGGGUGUGUAAGCGCAGCGAUGCGUUGAGCUAACCGGUACUAAUGAACCGUGAGGCUUAACCUUACAACGCCGAAG